This 443-nucleotide ribosomal RNA is filed under the name uncultured bacterium. RNAcentral's name for it is "partial 16S ribosomal RNA". It matches the Rfam family "Bacterial small subunit ribosomal RNA", at positions 338 to 795 of the family's 1533-position model. The record is from RNAcentral.
CCUACGGGGGGCAGCAGUGGGGAAUAUUGGGCAAUGGGCGCAAGCCUGACCCAGCAACGCCGCGUGAAGGAAGAAGGCUUUCGGGUUGUAAACUUCUUUUGUCAGGGACGAAGCAAGUGACGGUACCUGACGAAUAAGCCACGGCUAACUACGUGCCAGCAGCCGCGGGAAUCCGUAGGGGGCAAGCGUUAUCCGGAUUUACUGGGUGUAAAGGGCGUGUAGGCGGGACGGCAAGUCAGAUGUGAAAACCACGGGCUCAACCUGUGGCCUGCAUUUGAAACUGUAGUUCUUGAGUGCUGGAGAGGCAGGCGGAAUGCCUAGUGUAGCGGUGAAAUGCGUAGAUAUUAGGCGGAACACCAGUGGCGAAGGCAGUCUGCUGGACAGCAACUGACGCUGAGGCGCGAAAGCGUGGGGAGCAAACAGGAUUAGAUACCCCUGUAGUC